Molecule: ribosomal RNA, 468 nt
Filed under: uncultured bacterium
Lineage: Bacteria
Description: partial 16S ribosomal RNA
Rfam family: Bacterial small subunit ribosomal RNA
Source: RNAcentral
GACGAACGCUGGCGGCGUGCUUAACACAUGCAAGUCGAACGGAAAGGCCCUGCUUUUGUGGGGUGCUCGAGUGGCGAACGGGUGAGUAACACGUGAGUAACCUGCCCUUGACUUUGGGAUAACUUCAGGAAACUGGGGCUAAUACCGGAUAGGAGCUCCUGCUGCAUGGUGGGGGUUGGAAAGUUUCGGCGGUUGGGGAUGGACUCGCGGCUUAUCAGCUUGUUGGUGGGGUAGUGGCUUACCAAGGCUUUGACGGGUAGCCGGCCUGAGAGGGUGACCGGCCACAUUGGGACUGAGAUACGGCCCAGACUCCUGCGGGAGGCAGGAGUGGGGAAUAUUGCACAAUGGGCGGAAGCGUGAUGCAGCAACGCCGCGUGCGGGAUGACGGCCUUCGGGUUGUAAACCGCUUUCGCCUGUGACGAAGCGUGAGUGACGGUAAUGGGUAAAGAAGCACCGGCUAACUACGUG